RNAcentral lists this long non-coding RNA (757 nucleotides) under Cricetulus griseus (Chinese hamster). RNAcentral's name for it is "lncRNA (ENSCGRG00015040481.1)". The record is from RNAcentral. Lineage: Eukaryota; Metazoa; Chordata; Mammalia; Rodentia; Cricetidae.
CUUUCGGGUCGUCUCUCCCAGAGCGCGCCUUGCGCCCUGUUCCGUGUCCGGCCUUGGUCUCUGACUCAAAGUGUUGUUCCCUCAGCUUGAAGGAACUCUCCGGGAGGCCCGGAAGAUGCCGGGCGGGCCACAGGCUGCCGAGUCCCCGGGCCGUGUGGAUUAGAGCCAGGCUUGGGCUGUAUGGGGAAAGGCCACCAAGCCAAGUGUGAUCCAGGCCUGGAAGAGUGGCAGGGUUGGCUCCUUUGGAUGACAUUACUGAGCAUGCUCAGUGAUUCCCUAGAUAAUCCUUUCUUUGGUAGAUGCCUAGGAUGUCAACAAUCUGGUAAUAGAAGAGAUGCUGUAAAUUAACUUGACUCAAAGAGCUCCAACAGAGAAAUAUCCAUCAAGAUGGGAAAGAUUACACACAGGAAAGAGGCUAGCAUGGCAACAUGAGACAUCAUACAGAGAAGAUUCUGGGAAAGCAGGAUGUUAUUCCAAGACUUGGCUCUGUUUUUAUAUUUUUACACGUGUCAUAUACUGUAGUUUCAGCAGUAUUUUAUCUGUGCUGGAAUUAUAAAUGAUGGGAACUGAGCACUAUCUACCAAGUUUUAGAAUUCAGCAAUUCUGCCAGUAUGAUGGAUACUCAAGCACCUACUUGUCCCGUGGUAAACAGCAUGGUAGGCCCAAGAAAACCUCCCAAGACUCACAGAAACUCAAGUCAAUGCCAAUAUCACAGAGCUCUAGCUGACUGAGAGUCUGGCCCAUGGGAAAGGUUUUG